UACGUAGGGGGCGAGCGUUACCCGGAUUUACUGGGCGUAAAGCGCGUGUAGGCGGCUGGCCAAGCGUGGUGUGAAAUCUUCGGGCUUAACCCGAAAACUGCAUUGCGAACUGGUCUGGCUAGAGUGUGUGAGAGGGUAGUGGAAUUCCCGGUGUAGCGGUGAAAUGCGCAGAUAUCGGGAAGAACACCCGUGGCGAAGGCGGCUCUCUGGGACGGUACUGACGCUGAGACGCGAAAGCGUGGGGAGCGAACAGG
Molecule: ribosomal RNA, 254 nt
Filed under: uncultured bacterium
Lineage: Bacteria
Description: partial 16S ribosomal RNA
Rfam family: Bacterial small subunit ribosomal RNA
Source: RNAcentral